GCGCCUAUAGCUCAGGUGGUUAGAGCACCGCUCUUAUAAAGCGGGGGUCGAUGGUUCAAGUCCAUCUAGGCGCACUA
RNAcentral lists this transfer RNA (77 nucleotides) under Candidatus Falkowiibacteriota bacterium. RNAcentral's name for it is "tRNA-Ile". It matches the Rfam family "tRNA". From Rfam's summary of the family: Transfer RNA (tRNA) molecules are approximately 80 nucleotides in length. Their secondary structure includes four short double-helical elements and three loops (D, anti-codon, and T loops). Lineage: Bacteria; Candidatus Falkowiibacteriota. The record is from RNAcentral.